CAUCUGCUGACCUCUCCCUAGAUGGUGUCCUCUGUGCUGCCACUGUCAACAGCUUCCUUGGUACAGAGUCCAUCAUUUCCAGAGCAACAGGGAACCUGGAAGAGUGCCUCCGGACAGGGACUUCCAUCGUCUGGCUGACGCAAUGCAGAGGGCUGCCUGAGGGGCGGGCUGUGCUCCCUGGGAGGCAGCAGUGGCCACAGUCCUCGCCUCACCGGGAGGCUUGGGGGGCCUGAAGACUCUGCGGAAGUGGUGGACAACCUUCCUUAAGGCCCAGUUGGUUUGCUCAGAUCCAGAGCAUGGAACCACCUACAAUCUGCUGAGGGAUGUGUUCACCCUGCACUCUGGAAAUACUACUGCGUUCUGUGGCGUCUUCUCAGCUUGUAGGCUUGCCUCCAACGAUCAGCGUCGCUGCGGCGUCUCGUGUUUCACGGGCAGCGCUCUCUAUUCAGUAAGGACGUGAGAACUCCUGCRCUCCCGGAGAGCCCAGGAUCCCUGCUCUGGGCUGGUCAUUUGAGGCCUCUGUGCGGAGCGUUCUUUCUAGUUACACGCCCCGCGUGAGCCUCUCCUUCAGCUGUUUUCCCAAGGUGUUGGAAAUGCUUCUGGGAAAUGCUGUAGUUUCCGAAAUGUUUCACUGUGCCCUUGCCAGUAGGGGAUACCGCGAGAGCRGGGAGAGGCAGCCUACGUCUGUGCGAGGAAAGAAGUGUGGCGCAAAGAAGGGACCUCCUUGGCCCACCUAGUCUGCUUUAGAGAGUUUUCUUUUGGACCUGAAGAUUGGGUCUGUGAGUGCCACGCGCAGCGCACGCGUUUGUUCCCCCCCCCYGUUCUUUUAGCAAGACUGUGUGUGUCCUUGAGUUGUUUGUCCCGAGGGGGGAGUUGCUGCAGGAAUUGCUGGGGAGGCCCUGACGGCGGGACGUGARAAAGACGCCUUUGACCGCAUGCAGCCGAAGAAAUGUAAGCUGAAGGAUCCGAGGAAAUAACUGCUCGCCUAGGUUUGCUGCCUCGCAACACAUUGUCAGAGUUUUUUACGAACAAUCCUCCUCGGGGAAGCGCCUGUUCGUUCCGUGAAUACGAGCGCAAAAAACGCGCACGUUACCGACCCUUUAAAGCGAGUCCGUGGCGCUGGGGUAGCGUGCGUAGCCGAGCCUAAA
RNAcentral lists this long non-coding RNA (1148 nucleotides) under Apteryx rowi (Okarito brown kiwi). Its description in RNAcentral is "lncRNA (ENSARWG00000003949.1)". The record is from RNAcentral. Lineage: Eukaryota; Metazoa; Chordata; Aves; Apterygiformes; Apterygidae.